CGCAUUGUUUCUCUCAUCCUUCUGAGUUGGAGCAGUGAAACAAUGCCUCUGGAUCCUCGCCCAGGAGGAUCUAACACAAAACAGGAAAAAACUGCUAUUUCUGCUCCACAGAUUUUAGC
This 119-nucleotide long non-coding RNA is filed under the name Oryzias sinensis (Chinese medaka). RNAcentral describes it as "lncRNA (ENSOSIG00000015246.1)". The record is from RNAcentral. Lineage: Eukaryota; Metazoa; Chordata; Actinopteri; Beloniformes; Adrianichthyidae.